UAUUAUUAGAAAUGUAAAUUAAAAAAAUAGAGUAGUAUUAGAUAUAUUCUUAAAAUUUAAUAAAUUUGGCGGUAUUUUAAUCUGUUCAGAGGAACUUGUUUUAUAAUUGAUAAUCCUCAUUAAAUCUUACUUAAUUUUGUAUAAUUUGUAUAUCGUCGUCAUAAGAAUUUCUUUAUAAAGAAAAAAUUUUCUAAAAUUUUUAUUAAUAAUAAUGUCAGAUCAAGGUGCAGUUUAUAAUUAAGAAAAAAUGAGUUACAAUAAAAAUAUUUAAUAUGAAUUUUAAAAUUUAAUUUUUAAAUGAAGGUGGAUUUGAUAGUAAAAUAAACUAAAAUAUUUAUUUGAUUUUAGUUAUAAAAUAUGCACAUAUCGCCCG
RNAcentral lists this ribosomal RNA (373 nucleotides) under Ectrepesthoneura chandleri. RNAcentral's name for it is "partial 12S ribosomal RNA". Lineage: Eukaryota; Metazoa; Arthropoda; Insecta; Diptera; Mycetophilidae. The record is from RNAcentral.